UUCAGAUUUUCUUUUGUUUGUGUGUGUUUUUGUUUUUUUUUGGAUGAAGGUUAAGAGGAAGCUUUCUUUCUUACUUAAAGGUUUGUAUGCUGGGCAGAUAGUUAAUGGUACAGAAAUCCAAGCUUUAUUUGGGGGAACAAGAGAGCAGACAGGACAUAGAGGUCUUAUUGGCAGAAGUGGCAAAGUAGGGGACAAUCUUUCAUAGGAUCAUAAAAUUAUAGCCCCCAAACACAAUCUAGUGAAAUCACCUUGUUUCUAAGAAGGUUUUCACAAAGAGCUAAUACUAAAGAAUUGGGGUUACAGAAUACAUGGUAUUAUCCAUGCCAAAUACAAA
Molecule: long non-coding RNA, 334 nt
Filed under: Homo sapiens (human)
Lineage: Eukaryota; Metazoa; Chordata; Mammalia; Primates; Hominidae
Description: non-protein coding lnc-COQ2-3:1
Source: RNAcentral